Non-coding RNA from Acanthosepion pharaonis, 99 nucleotides. Lineage: Eukaryota; Metazoa; Mollusca; Cephalopoda; Sepiida; Sepiidae. The record is from the annotation of a GenBank genome assembly.
AUUUAAACACCACUUCUCAUUUGAACACUGAAGUUAAGCAACAUUGAGCUUGGCCAGUACCUAGAUGGGUGACUGCAUGGCAAUACCAAGUGCUGUAAG